Molecule: ribosomal RNA, 465 nt
Filed under: Vreelandella stevensii
Lineage: Bacteria; Pseudomonadati; Pseudomonadota; Gammaproteobacteria; Oceanospirillales; Halomonadaceae
Description: partial 16S ribosomal RNA
Rfam family: Bacterial small subunit ribosomal RNA
Source: RNAcentral
CCUACGGGCGGCUGCAGUGGGGAAUAUUGGACAAUGGGGGCAACCCUGAUCCAGCCAUGCCGCGUGUGUGAAGAAGGCCCUCGGGUUGUAAAGCACUUUCAGUGAGGAAGAACGCCUGGUGGUUAAUACCCAUCAGGAAAGACAUCACUCACAGAAGAAGCACCGGCUAACUCCGUGCCAGCAGCCGCGGUAAUACGGAGGGUGCGAGCGUUAAUCGGAAUUACUGGGCGUAAAGCGCGCGUAGGUGGCUUGAUAAGCCGGUUGUGAAAGCCCCGGGCUCAACCUGGGAACGGCAUCCGGAACUGUCAAGCUAGAGUGCAGGAGGGGAAGGUAGAAUUCCCGGUGUAGCGGUGAAAUGCGUAGAGAUCGGGAGGAAUACCAGUGGCGAAGGCGGCCUUCUGGACUGACACUGACACUGAGGUGCGAAAGCGUGGGUAGCAAACAGGAUUAGAUACCCUAGUAGUC